RNAcentral lists this ribosomal RNA (456 nucleotides) under uncultured bacterium. RNAcentral describes it as "bacterial SSU rRNA". It matches the Rfam family "Bacterial small subunit ribosomal RNA", at positions 383 to 832 of the family's 1533-position model. The record is from RNAcentral.
GUGACGGAGCGACGCCGCGUGGGUGAUGAAGGCCUUCGGGUUGUAAAGCCCUGUUAACUGGGAAGAAUGGCAAUUGGUUAAUAGCCUAUUGCUUGACGUAACCAGUAGAGGAAGCACCGGCUAAAUACGUGCCAGCAGCCGCGGUAAUACGUAUGGUGCAAACGUUGUUCGGAAUUACUGGGCAUAAAGAGCACGUAGGCGGUUGGGCAAGUCCGGUGUGAAAUCCCUCGGCUUAACUGAGGAACUGCAUUGGAAACUGCUUGACUAGAGUGCAGGAGGGGAGAGUGGAAUUCCAGGUGGAGCGGUGAAAUGCGUAGAUAUCUGGAGGAACGCCGGUGGCGAAAGCGACUCUCUGGUCUGCAACUGACGCUGAGGUGCGAAAGCUAGGGGAGCAAACGGGAUUAGAUACCCCGGUAGUCCUAGCCCUAAACGAUGGGCACUAAGUAGAGGGGUUUU